GAAACUCUGAUUCUUGAACUGUACGUGGAAUCCUUCGCACCGCAGACAACAAGAUGAAGAUUUCAACGUUAGCGGCACUCCUGGGUCUCGCCCUCCUCGCCGCCAUGGUGGCGCCUGCAGUUGCAGACCCCAUGGACAGGGCAGAACAGUGGAAAUGUGACAAAGACAAAAAACAUUCCUGGGAAAGCAAUGACGUCCGUCACCACAAAGUCUGAGUCAUCAGGCGUUCCCUUCGACGAUAGACACUACUACCUCCCCUCUUCUACACGGGAGCUUUAACUCUCACCUCGGCGUACCAUUUAACUUUUUACUUGUAUGUUUGGUAGUUAGUUAUAGUUCCUGUAAAUAAAAACUUUAUUUUCUUAAGAAUU
Molecule: unclassified non-coding RNA, 371 nt
Filed under: Homalodisca vitripennis (glassy-winged sharpshooter)
Lineage: Eukaryota; Metazoa; Arthropoda; Insecta; Hemiptera; Cicadellidae
Description: uncharacterized LOC124353892, transcript variant X1
Source: RNAcentral